GUAAUAGUUCACUUCAUUUAAGUGGCUUAGGUCAUCUAAAGUCUAUAAGUAUAUACUAGUGUGAGGGUGGUGCGGCGUACCGAGGGGAAGGGUAGAAGCUGGUGGUGAUAAGGGAAAGAAUCGGAAAUUGAAAGAGAAAUGAGAGGAUUCGCUGCUCUUCAAGUGUUCUUGGUGUUUUUAAUAGUUUCCACCGCCAGAAAUAGUUGCAGAGCUGCUUUUCUUCAGAAAAGCAACACCACUUUCGGGU
Molecule: unclassified non-coding RNA, 247 nt
Filed under: Hevea brasiliensis (rubber tree)
Lineage: Eukaryota; Viridiplantae; Streptophyta; Magnoliopsida; Malpighiales; Euphorbiaceae
Source: RNAcentral